ACUGCGAAUACCGGAGAAUGUUAUCACGGGAGACACACGGCGGGUGCUAACGUCCGUCGUGAAGAGGGAAACAACCCAGACCGCCAGCUAAGGUCCCAAAGUCAUGGUUAAGUGGGAAACGAUGUGGGAAGGCCCAGACAGCCAGGAUGUUGGCUUAGAAGCAGCCAUCAUUUAAAGAAAGCGUAAUAGCUCACUGGUCGAGUCGGCCUGCGCGGAAGAUGUAACGGGGCUAAACCAUGCACCGAAGCUGCGGCAGCGACACUAUGUGUUGUUGGGUAGGGGAGCGUUCUGUAAGCCUGUGAAGGUGUACUGUGAGGUAUGCUGGAGGUAUCAGAAGUGCGAAUGCUGACAUAAGUAACGAUAAAGCGGGUGAAAAGCCCGCUCGCCGGAAGACCAAGGGUUCCUGUCCAACGUUAAUCGGGGCAGGGUGAGUCGACUCCUAAGGCGAGGCCGAAAGGCGUAGUCGAUGGGAAACAGGUUAAUAUUCCUGUACUUGGUGUUACUGCGAAGGGGGGACGGAGAAGGCUAUGUUGGCCGGGCGACGGUUGUCCCGGUUUAAGCGUGUAGGCUGGUUUUCCAGGCAAAUCCGGAAAACUAAGGCUGAGGCGUGAUGACGAGGCACUACGGUGCUGAAGCAACAAAUGCCCUGCUUCCAGGAAAAGCCUCUAAGCAUCAGGUAACAUCAAAUCGUACCCCAAACCGACACAGGUGGUCAGGUAGAGAAUACCAAGGCGCUUGAGAGAACUCGGGUGAAGGAACUAGGCAAAAUGGUGCCGUAACUUCGGGAGAAGGCACGCUGAUAUGUAGGUGAAGUCCCUCGCGGAUGGAGCUGAAAUCAGUCGAAGAUACCAGCUGGCUGCAACUGUUUAUUAAAAACACAGCACUGUGCAAACACGAAAGUGGACGUAUACGGUGUGACGCCUGCCCGGUGCCGGAAGGUUAAUUGAUGGGGUCAGCGCAAGCGAAGCUCUUGAUCGAAGCCCCGGUAAACGGCGGCCGUAACUAUAACGGUCCUAAGGUAGCGAAAUUCCUUGUCGGGUAAGUUCCGACCUGCACGAAUGGCGUAAUGAUGGCCAGGCUGUCUCCACCCGAGACUCAGUGAAAUUGAACUCGCUGUGAAGAUGCAGUGUACCCGCGGCAAGACGGAAAGACCCCGUGAACCUUUACUAUAGCUUGACACUGAACAUUGAGCCUUGAUGUGUAGGAUAGGUGGGAGGCUUUGAAGUGUGGACGCCAGUCUGCAUGGAGCCGACCUUGAAAUACCACCCUUUAAUGUUUGAUGUUCUAACGUUGACCCGUAAUCCGGGUUGCGGACAGUGUCUGGUGGGUAGUUUGACUGGGGCGGUCUCCUCCUAAAGAGUAACGGAGGAGCACGAAGGUUGGCUAAUCCUGGUCGGACAUCAGGAGGUUAGUGCAAUGGCAUAAGCCAGCUUGACUGCGAGCGUGACGGCGCGAGCAGGUGCGAAAGCAGGUCAUAGUGAUCCGGUGGUUCUGAAUGGAAGGGCCAUCGCUCAACGGAUAAAAGGUACUCCGGGGAUAACAGGCUGAUACCGCCCAAGAGUUCAUAUCGACGGCGGUGUUUGGCACCUCGAUGUCGGCUCAUCACAUCCUGGGGCUGAAGUAGGUCCCAAGGGUAUGGCUGUUCGCCAUUUAAAGUGGUACGCGAGCUGGGUUUAGAACGUCGUGAGACAGUUCGGUCCCUAUCUGCCGUGGGCGCUGGAGAACUGAGGGGGGCUGCUCCUAGUACGAGAGGACCGGAGUGGACGCAUCACUGGUGUUCGGGUUGUCAUGCCAAUGGCACUGCCCGGUAGCUAAAUGCGGAAGAGAUAAGUGCUGAAAGCAUCUAAGCACGAAACUUGCCCCGAGAUGAGUUCUCCCUGACUCCUUGAGAGUCCUGAAGGAACGUUGAAGACGACGACGUUGAUAGGCCGGGUGUGUAAGCGCAGCGAUGCGUUGAGCUAACCGGUACUAAUGAACCGUGAGGCUUAACCUU
Molecule: ribosomal RNA, 1993 nt
Filed under: Escherichia coli
Lineage: Bacteria; Pseudomonadati; Pseudomonadota; Gammaproteobacteria; Enterobacterales; Enterobacteriaceae
Also listed under: 1 other name
Description: partial 23S ribosomal RNA
Rfam family: Bacterial large subunit ribosomal RNA
Source: RNAcentral